CUAUAUUCUGAAGUAUAAUGACCAAGUUUUUGACAAUUGUAACAUUUAAUUUGAGAUUUGUCAUACCUUGGUCCUUCAUUUUUCCUCUUACCUUUCCUCUUCCGCGACCUCUAGUAGAAAACGAACUUUGUCUUCUUUCCUCCUUGUAGAAUGCAAUUCUUCCUCGAUCUUGGCCUCAUCCUCUUCCUCUUUGGCUUCUUCUACUAUUGAACCUUCCUUCACCCUCGUUCAAAGUGAGCUUUGUUUGAAGAGCUUGCUCUAAUGGCUCUUCUUUCACUUUCUUCUUUAGUCUUUCCUCAUGGGCUUGUAAAGAUCCCAUGAGUUGAUCGACACUCAUACUAUCUAGAUCUUUAGAUUCCUCAAUGGCUACAACUAUGUAGUCAAAUUUAGAAUCUAAAGACCUAAGUAUCUUCUCAAUUACUCGAGUGUCGUUCAACUUUUCUCCAUUCCUUUUUAAUUGAUUCACAAUAGCUAAUACUCUAGAGAAGUAAUCAGAAAUUGAU
Molecule: long non-coding RNA, 503 nt
Filed under: Olea europaea subsp. europaea
Lineage: Eukaryota; Viridiplantae; Streptophyta; Magnoliopsida; Lamiales; Oleaceae
Source: RNAcentral